GGAGGGCGCGAGCGUUACCCGGAUUUACUGGGCGUAAAGGGCGUGUAGGCGGCCUGGGGCGUCCCAUGUGAAAGGCCACGGCUCAACCGUGGAGGAGCGUGGGAUACGCUCAGGCUAGAGGGUGGGAGAGGGUGGUGGAAUUCCCGGAGUAGCGGUGAAAUGCGCAGAUACCGGGAGGAACGCCGAUGGCGAAGGCAGCCACCUGGUCCACUUCUGACGCUGAGGCGCGAAAGCGUGGGGAGCAAACCGGAUUAGAUACCCGGGUAGUCCACGCCCUAAACGAUGCGCGCUAGGUCUCUGGGUUUAUCUGGGGGCCGAAGCCAACGCGUUAAGCGCGCCGCCUGGGGAGUACGGCCGCAAGGCUG
This 365-nucleotide ribosomal RNA is filed under the name uncultured Thermaceae bacterium. RNAcentral's name for it is "bacterial SSU rRNA". It matches the Rfam family "Bacterial small subunit ribosomal RNA", at positions 527 to 896 of the family's 1533-position model. The record is from RNAcentral. Lineage: Bacteria; Thermotogati; Deinococcota; Deinococci; Thermales; Thermaceae.